AUGCGUCCCCCGCUCCUCCCCCGCGUCGCCUCCGCCGCCUCCGCCUCCGCCACACCUCCUCGCCGCCAGCGCACCGUCAGGCCGCCGAUGCCGUCCUCCCCUGCCCUCCUCUCCUCCACCCCACCGCCGGCCGCGCCCGUAGAAACCCCCAAGCCCGAGACCACCCAGCAGCACCCUCCUCCCGCCCGCCGCCGCCUAACCCUCGCCGACGAGGAGUGGCACCCGCUCCCCCUCUCUCUCGCCGAGCUCUCCCUUCCGCUCACCCUCCCCACCGGCCAGACCUUCCUCUGGCGCCGCACCUCCCUCUCCCCGCUCCGAUUCACGGCCGCCGUGGGCCCGCACCUCGUCUCCCUCUCCCACCUCCCCGACGACGACCGCCUCGCCUUCCUCCUCCACAACGACGACCCCGCCUCCCCCUCCUCCUCCGUCGCCGCCGCCCGGGCCGCGCUGUGCGACUACCUGAACUCCGCCGUCCCCCUCGCCGACCUCUGGGUCCAGUUCACCGCCGCCGAUGCGCGCUUCGCGGAGGUCGCGGCGCGGCUCGGCGGCGGCGGCGCCCGGGUGCUCAGGCAGGACCCGGUCGAGUGCCUGUUCCAGUUCCUCUGCUCCUCCAACAACAACAUCGCGCGGAUCGAGAAGAUGGUCUGGACGCUGGCCGGAUACGGGGAGCGGCUCGGAGAGGUCGGCGGCUUCGUCUUCCACCGGUUCCCCACUGUCGAGCGGCUCGCGCAGGUGUCCGAGCAGGAGCUUCGGGAGGCUGGGUUUGGGUACAGGGCAAAGUAUGUUGUUGGCACAGCUAGAAAAUUGAUGGCCAAGCCUGGUGGAGGUGCAAAAUGGCUUGCCUUGCUGCGUGACAGGGAACUUCCGGAGGUAAUUGAGGGUCUUUGUACCCUGCCAGGUGUUGGUCCAAAAGUUGCAGCCUGCAUUGCUCUGUUCUCUCUUGAUAAGAAUCAGGCUAUUCCUGUUGACACACAUGUCUGGAAGGUUGCUACACGAUAUAUGUUGCCUGAGCUAGCUGACAAGAGCCUGACUCCAAAACUGAGCAUUGUUGUCGCCGAUGCAUUUGUAGCCAAAUUUGGCGAGUAUGCUGGUUGGGCGCAGAAUGUUCUCUUUAUCGGCCAACUACCUGCUAAAAAACUUGUGGCCACCGAAGUUACCAGUGACACCGCGAAACCUACCAAGAGGAAACGUGCGAAGAUGGUUGAAAUACAGGCAUGA
RNAcentral lists this ribosomal RNA (1218 nucleotides) under Triticum aestivum (bread wheat). RNAcentral describes it as "partial small subunit ribosomal RNA". The record is from RNAcentral. Lineage: Eukaryota; Viridiplantae; Streptophyta; Magnoliopsida; Poales; Poaceae.